This 1578-nucleotide long non-coding RNA is filed under the name Centruroides sculpturatus (bark scorpion). Its description in RNAcentral is "uncharacterized LOC111625947". Lineage: Eukaryota; Metazoa; Arthropoda; Arachnida; Scorpiones; Buthidae. The record is from RNAcentral.
GUUUUUAACGUUUGUUCGAAAUACGUCACGCAUGACGAAUCGCAGUUCGAUUGUGUUUCUUGUUGCUUUCGGACGUGCUUUUGUUCUGCUCUUGGAUUGCGUUGCUUUUUUUGCGGUUUGUGCACUUUUGCGGAGAGGAUUCAAGAUUUUUUAGGAUGAAGACGUUGCUGCGUUGUUGGAGGCGGUUCCGGCGGAGGCAGGCGGUGGCGCCGGAGGGAGAGGGUUCCUCGGACGACGCGGAACGAGUCUGUCGUUCCGUGCCGUCCGAGGAGCGACAGGCAGCGGGUGAAGAAGGCCUUGGCCAAGUGCGCGUGGCGUGGCAUCCUCCCGGAGUCGGGAUGAUGCGACGCUACACCCAGGGCCCAGUGCGCUUGGCCGAGGUCUUCGGGGGUCAUCCGGCCACAGACCUUGCUGUGGAGGAUGUCGAAAGUGACAGCUCGUCCGAGCUGACACUUUCUGUUUGGUCGUGUUCUGCCCGUUCGUCCGCGACGGCGACGCCACCGCCUUGCCGAAGUCGGGACGGGGAGGAGUCGGAGGAGAGAGCCCCCGAAGUCGAGGGACCGUGCUGUCCGUGGUUUAGUUGCUGCGGACGGCUGCGGUUGCCUUGGCCUAGGCGGUGAUCUUCUUCGAUUUCCUCUUCUUCACCCGGAUGCGACUUUCUUACCGGAUUCGACACUUUUCACCCGGACAUGACACUUUUUAACGGACGUGACCUCUCUUACCCGGACGUGACCCACGGACUUGACACGUUUCUUCACCGGACGCGACAUUCGGCCGACCUUUCUUCCCAAACAGCUGUUAUGAGGAUUGAGCUUCCGGUUAGGGUUCGUUAGGUUAGCCUAGGCUAGCCUAACGAACCCUUCGCUCUUCUCAUAACACUGUUCGGGAAGAAAGGCUGUCUGAUUAAGGUAAUAAUCUUGACCUUAGGUAAUAAAUGAAUAAACUUCUCGUUUUCUCACUGCCUUUGUGUUUUGUAGGAACAUUUGGGAGGGAGAAGAAUCUCCCUCCCCAACUUUACCACGAAGAGGACCAUUUAUCGUACAAGUGAAUAUUUUCCGAUGACGUGCCGAAGAUGUUCUUCGAUCACACACAUACACACACACGCACGGACAUAACACCACUGUACACGAAGAUAUACACCGUUUAACCUUUACUCGAAUUCUCGCACUCACGCACUUACACAUCAAGCGCUCGUUCUGUGUAAUUCCACACAGUGAAACAACCCGAAUACACGCUUCCCACAAAUCCAACCCCUGGGUCCUCGUCCCGGGAAGUGGAAACGCCAAUUUUAAAGAUUAAAAUACUUUAAAUUGGCGGCCGAAGGGGCUCUGGUAAUCACACAUCUUGCAUCGAUUAAAUGCAAUUUCAGACAUUAGAUUUUAGACAUAAUCGUUUGGUGAUGAAUUGGGAAGGAGAAGAAUCCUGUACCAAGUAUUAAACAUUGUUUUUCCCACUAUGUUUUGUUUUUGUGGCUUCUUUUUUAAUCGUGGUCUCAAACUUUUUCAGGCAAAUUGCAAGGAAUAAUUUGUUGUAUAUGAAUUUUUUUUUCUUGAAAUACGAAAAUAAAUGUUUACUUCA